Molecule: long non-coding RNA, 1639 nt
Organism: Acanthochromis polyacanthus (spiny chromis)
Lineage: Eukaryota; Metazoa; Chordata; Actinopteri; Pomacentridae
Exons: 6
Source: RefSeq, a predicted model, not a curated record
UGUCUUUUUGUUGAGGUUUUGUGUCUCUGUGUGGCUCUUUUCUGUCUCUUUCUUGGUGACUUUGUGUCUCUUUGUUGAGGUUUUGUGUCUUUUUGUUGAGGUUUUGUGUCUCUGUGUGGCUCUUUUCUGUCUCUUUCUUGGUGACUUUGUGUCUCUUUGUUGAGGUUUUGUGUCUUUUUGUUGAGGUUUUGUGUCUCUGUGUGGCUCUUUUCUGUCUCUUUCUUGGUGACUUUGUGUCUCUUUGUUGAGGUUUUGUGUCUUUUUGUUGAGGUUUUGUGUCUCUGUGUGGCUCUUUUCUGUCUCUUUCUUGGUGACUUUGUGUCUCUUUGUUGAGGUUUUGUGUCUUUUUGUUGAGGUUUUGUGUCUCUGUGUGGCUCUUUUCUGUCUCUUUCUUGGUGACUUUGUGUCUCUUUGUUGAGGUUUUGUGUCUUUUUGUUGAGGUUUUGUGUCUCUGUGUGGCUCUUUUCUGUCUCUUUCUUGGUGACUUUGUGUCUCUUUGUUGAGGUUUUGUGUCUUUUUGUUGAGGUUUUGUGUCUCUGUGUGGCUCUUUUCUGUCUCUUUCUUGGUGACUUUGUGUCUCUUUGUUGAGGUUUUGUGUCUUUUUGUUGAGGUUUUGUGUCUCUGUGUGGCUCUUUUCUGUCUCUUUCUUGGUGACUUUGUGUCUCUUUGUUGAGGUUUUGUGUCUUUUUGUUGAGGUUUUGUGUCUCUGUGUGGCUCUUUUCUGUCUCUUUCUUGGUGACUUUGUGUCUCUUUGUUGAGGUUUUGUGUCUUUUUGUUGAGGUUUUGUGUCUCUGUGUGGCUCUUUUCUGUCUCUUUCUUGGUGACUUUGUGUCUCUUUGUUGAGGUUUUGCGUCUUUUUGUUGAGGUUUUGUGUCUCUGUGUGGCUCUUUUCUGUCUCUUUCUUGGUGACUUUGUGUCUCUUUGUUGAGGUUUUGCGUCUUUUUGUUGAGGUUUUGUGUCUCUGUGUGGCUCUUUUCUGUCUCUUUCUUGGUGACUUUGUGUCUCUUUGUUGAGGUUUUGCGUCUUUUUGUUGAGGUUUUGUGUCUCUGUGUGGCUCUUUUCUGUCUCUUUCUUGGUGACUUUGUGUCUCUUUGUUGAGGUUUUGUGUCUUUUUGUUGAGGUUUUGUGUCUCUGUGUGGCUCUUUUCUGUCUCUUUCUUGGUGACUUUGUGUCUCUUUGUUGAGGUUUUGUGUCUUUUUGUUGAGGUUUUGUGUCUCUGUGUGGCUCUUUUCUGUCUCUUUCUUGGUGACUUUGUGUCUCUUUGUUGAGGUUUUGUGUCUUUUUGUUGAGGUUUUGUGUCUCUGUGUGGCUCUUUUCUGUCUCUUUCUUGGUGACUUUGUGUCUCUUUGUUGAGGUUUUGUGUCUUUUUGUUGAGGUUUUGUGUCUCUGUGUGGCUCUUUUCUGUCUCUUUCUUGGUGACUUUGUGUCUCUUUGUUGAGGUUUUGUGACUCAGACGGUUUUGUGUCACUUUUGUUUGUUUAAAUCUGGGUUUUAUUGUGCAGCUGAAAAGAUUUAGGAAACCAGCAGCAAAGCGUUUGUGUACCGUUCAAACAUCCAGUCCAGGAGGUGCUUUAGUUCACCAGCAGGAAGUCAUAUUUGCAGUUUGUCUCUUCCGUCUAAUUCAAACUUCCAGAGACGU